Molecule: ribosomal RNA, 471 nt
Filed under: uncultured bacterium
Lineage: Bacteria
Description: bacterial SSU rRNA
Rfam family: Bacterial small subunit ribosomal RNA
Source: RNAcentral
AGGACGACGCUGGCGGCGUGCCUAACACAUGCAAGUCGAACGGAGAUACAUUGUAGCAAUAUGGUGUAUCUUAGUGGCGGACGGGUGAGUAACGCGUGAGCAACCUGCCCUUCGGAGGGGGACAACAGCUGGAAACGGCUGCUAAUACCGCAUAACGUAUAACCGAGGCAUCUUGGAUAUACCAAAGAUUUUAUCGCCGGAGGAUGGGCUCGCGUCUGAUUAGCUAGUUGGUAGGGUAAUGGCCUACCAAGGCUGCGAUCAGUAGCCGGACUGAGAGGUUGAACGGCCACAUUGGGACUGAGAUACGGCCCAGACUCCUACGGGAGGCAGCAGUGGGGAAUAUUGGGCAAUGGGGGCAACCCUGACCCAGCAACGCCGCGUGAAGGAAGAAGGCCUUCGGGUUGUAAACUUCUUUGACCAGGGACGAAGGACGUGACUGUACCUGGAAAACAAGCCACGGCUAACUACGUG